AUUCCAGCUCCAAUAGCGUAUAUUAAAGUUGUUGCGGUUAAAAAGCUCGUAGUUGGAUUUCUGCCGAGGAUGACCGGUCCGCCCUGUGAGUGUGCAUCUGGCUCAGCCUUGGCAUCUUCCUGAAGAACGUAGCUGCACUUGACUGUGUGGUGCGGUAUUUAGGACAUUUACUUUGAGGAAAUUAGAGUGUUUCAAGCAGGCCUAUGCUCUGAAUAGGUUAGCAUGGAAUAAUAGAAUAGGACUUUGGUUCUAUUUUGUUGGUUUCUAGGACCGAAGUAAUGAUUAAUAGGGACAGUUGGGGGCAUUCAUAUUCCAUUGUCAGAGGUGAAAUUCUUGGAUUAACGGAAGAUGAACUUCUGCGAAAGCAUCUGCCAAGGAUGUUUUCAUUA
RNAcentral lists this ribosomal RNA (389 nucleotides) under Biecheleria sp. RNAcentral describes it as "partial small subunit ribosomal RNA". It matches the Rfam family "Eukaryotic small subunit ribosomal RNA", at positions 582 to 975 of the family's 1831-position model. The record is from RNAcentral. Lineage: Eukaryota; Dinophyceae; Suessiales; Biecheleriaceae.